CGAUAAGAUUAUCUAUAUAUAUUUGUGCUUUUCAUUAUAAAGAUGAAAGACUCAAUUUAUUUUGGGUUUGUUGGUGAAUAGGAUUGCAAUUUGAAACUGUGAAGUUUGGUGUUUUGGAGAAUAAAAUUAGUCUUAAAUGACAAUCAUCUGUUUUCACCAAAAAUAACCAUACAUCUGUUUUGCCUAAAUGGAGUUAAUCUGUUGUGUUUCCAUGUUGUGCUUUCGUUGGCUGCCAUACAAUACGAAAAUAACAAUUCCAUUUCCAGUAAUAUUACAACUAAUUUCAUAUAGAUUUAUUGCCAUAAACAUAUAAGGGGUCUACAUCCGUGAAGUUGAAAUUUUAUUUUUUUUUGGUUUUUUCCCAUAAACUUAAUAGUAACUAGACAUAGGUUCUUUAUCACUCGAUUUCUCCAUCUGUGAAGUUGCAAAUUUUUUUGGAUUUUUUAUUUUUUGUUAUUUGCAGUAAGUUAAAGUAUGGAUGACAUUGAAAAUGACCACAACGAUGUUUUCGAGCCAUCAGAGAAUGAGAAUGUGAAGGAUUCUGUGAAUGAAGUUGGUCGUGAAACAUCAAUGGGAGACGGUGUAAUUGUACCGGAUGUGGGAAUGUUGUUAAAAAUGAACAAGAGAUGUAUGAUUUCUACAAAAAAUAUGCGUACACAAUGGGUUUUCCAGUUAAGAAAAGGAAUUCGAAAAAGGGGGACGAUGGAGUUUUAAGAUAUUUGAUGUUGACUUGUAGCCGUGAAGGCAAAAGCAUCGGUAAUAGUAGCUGCUCUUUGAAGCCGCACCCAACAGUUAAGAUGGGUUGUAAGGCCAGAAUAUCUACAUCGGUCGAUGUUCUAGGAAAUUGGAGAAUUAAUGCAGUAAACCUCGAACACAAUCAUGAGACAAGUCUUUAUAAAUCCAGAUUAUACUGAUGCAAUAGACAAUUGAGUGCAGCUAUGAAAUGAAAGCUUGAGGUGAAUAAUUUGGCAGGAAUUGCAUUGCAUAAAAGCUACAACUCCGCAGUUGUAGAAACGGGUGGAUAUGAGAACAUGACUUGUAUUGAAAAGGAUUGUAGGAACUAUGUAGAACGCGUGAGGCGAUUGCGUCUUGGAGAAGGAGAUGCUGCAACAAUUCUAUCGUAUUUUUCAAAAAAUGCAAGCACGGUGCUUGGGAUUUUAUUUUGAUAUUGAUUUGGAUGAGGAGUCACGGUUGAGAAAUGUGUUCUGGUUAGAUAAUCGGAGUAAGCAAGCGUACAAAGAGUUCGGGGAUGUUGUUUCAUUUGAUACCACUUAUCCGACUAAUAAGUAUGAUAUGUCGUUCGCUCCUUUUGUUAGCGUAAAUCAUCACGGACAAACGACACUAAUUUAAAUCUUCAUUUAUAUCACAAAUUGAUUAAAUAUUUUCAUGUAAAAUACAGCUAAUAUUGGAUGUAGUUGCGAUAUUGCAAUGUUAUCAUUAGAUUCACAGUCAAUUACAUGCCAUUAUCACUGGAAUUGAGACAUUAAGUGGUUGUUUUAAUGUUAUUUAGUUCCUAAAUACUUACUUGGGCCUUUGUCUUAUGUUACCAGAUACAUUGCAGGCACGUUGGGCUAACCACGAAGAGUUCGGCACGUUGCGGGCUGCACAUUCACCAGAGCUGGCAAUUGAUUGUUCUCAUGACUUUGCAUUGUCUCAUUUCCAAAUUGUAAAGGAUUGGUUUUGGGAUUGUACCCUUAUUAUGACUGGAGGGAUAAUUCAUUUUGGAUGUUAGCCAUUAAAUGUGUUUUGUCAAGAAACUUAGGCAGGUUGCGUUUCUAUUGCUAAGCCAAUUAAUCUGGUCAUCAAAUCCUUUUUCUUAAUUUCACUUACCCGAAUAGGCUUCUUGAAUUUGUUGGGACUUCUUUUUAGCUUGGUGG
Molecule: long non-coding RNA, 1877 nt
Filed under: Olea europaea subsp. europaea
Lineage: Eukaryota; Viridiplantae; Streptophyta; Magnoliopsida; Lamiales; Oleaceae
Source: RNAcentral